RNAcentral lists this ribosomal RNA (110 nucleotides) under uncultured bacterium. RNAcentral's name for it is "partial 16S ribosomal RNA". It matches the Rfam family "Bacterial small subunit ribosomal RNA", at positions 1373 to 1482 of the family's 1533-position model. The record is from RNAcentral.
CCCGGGUCUUGUACACACCGCCCGUCACACCAUGGGAGCGGGUUCUGCCAGAAGUAGUUGGCCUAACCGUAAGGAGGGCGAUUACCACGGCAGGGUUCGUGACUGGGGUG